RNAcentral lists this ribosomal RNA (410 nucleotides) under uncultured bacterium. RNAcentral's name for it is "bacterial SSU rRNA". It matches the Rfam family "Bacterial small subunit ribosomal RNA", at positions 370 to 772 of the family's 1533-position model. The record is from RNAcentral.
AAUGGGGGAAACCCUGACGCAGCAACGCCGCGUGAGUGAUGAGGGCCUUCGGGUCGUAAAGCUCUGUCAGAGGGAAAGAAAUGUGGGCGGCUAAUAUCCGUUCCACUUGACGGUACCCUCAGAGGAAGCACCGGCUAACUCCGUGCCAGCAGCCGCGGUAAUACGGAGGGUGCGAGCGUUGUUCGGAAUUAUUGGGCGUAAAGGGCGCGUAGGCGGUCUUGUAAGCCCGGCGUGAAAACCUGGAGCUCAACUCCGGGCCUGCGCUGGGAACUGCGGGACUAGAGUCAUGGAAGGGAAGUUGGAAUUCCAGGUGUAGGGGUGAAAUCUGUAGAUAUCUGGAAGAACACCGGUGGCGAAGGCGAACUUCUGGCCAAUGACUGACGCUGAGGCGCGAAAGUGCGGGGAGCAAA